Molecule: small nuclear RNA, 104 nt
Organism: Suncus etruscus (white-toothed pygmy shrew)
Lineage: Eukaryota; Metazoa; Chordata; Mammalia; Eulipotyphla; Soricidae
Source: RefSeq, a predicted model, not a curated record
GUUUGCUAUGGCAGUCCAUAUACUAAAACUAGAAUGACAAAGAGAAGAUUAGCAUGACCCUAUACAGGGAUGACAUGCAAAUUUGUAAGGAAUUCCAUAUUUUU